This 1211-nucleotide long non-coding RNA is filed under the name Taeniopygia guttata (zebra finch). RNAcentral describes it as "lncRNA (ENSTGUG00000024856.1)". Lineage: Eukaryota; Metazoa; Chordata; Aves; Passeriformes; Estrildidae. The record is from RNAcentral.
CAAGGCUGUGGAGGAAGAGGAGAAUUCAUUACAGCCCAGCGCAGAGAGGGCACCCACAGCCCCUCAGCUGCACCAGACCUUGGUCUUUGUUCCUACUGGCCAUGGGUGCUCAGUGUCCCCAUCCUCACUGCACCCCACACCCCAGAAUGAGGACACACACAAUGUCCCCUGGCAGGGAUCCACAGGACCAGGGCCUACAUGAUGUCCUCCCCUAGGGAGCCGGUGCAGCCCCACCCCUGUGUCCCCAGGUCCCUACAGCAGGUCCCUGCAGCAAGGACAUUUGGGCACAGACCCUCACCAGUUAGGACUGCACCACAGGCAGGAUGGCCCUCUUGGCCACUCAAAGCUUUUUCUGGUCCCCAAAACCACCUCCUGAUCAACCAAGACCACCUCCCAGACACCUGAGGCCAUCUCCUGGACACCUAAAACCAUCUCCUGGUCAUCUAAGAAUCAACUCCUUGUCAUCUGAAACAAUCUCCUGUCACCCAGGAGCACCUUCUAGUGGCAGGAAGACCAGCUCUGUGACCCCAUCUACUGGUGUCUGAGUCCCACCCCCACACUGGAGUGCCCUCCUCAUCCACAAUGUCCCCCCACAUGGUGCCACCUGCCACAUCUCUCCAUGCUCUUGUUGUCACCUUGCUUGUCCCAUGGUGACUUUCUAUGUCAUCCCUCAGACAGUGCCCUGUGUCUCCCUGCCUUGCCUUGGUGUUUUUCUCCAUGUGAUAAGGAUGUGGUCUCAUCCCACCCAAAACACCCACAAGCAGGGCCAUCCUCGCCACCACCAGUGACAGGGAUGUCAGCACACUUGCAGCGAGUGGAGAAGCUCGUCACUCCUCAUGCCUACAGGAUUUACCCAGGCAGACAGAGCAGAGCUCAGCAAGGAAACCAGCCAUGGAACAAAGCGCCAUCUCCAACUACCACUCGCCUGCAGCUCUUCAGGAAAAAAAUCUCAAAACUCAGAGAAAAUGGUUUUCUCCAGAGGAAGAAAUGAUCUCGAGAAAGAUGGGGAGUUGUGGUCCCGCAGGCACCAGCUGCUACAAACCUCCCAGGACACACAUUCCACAGGUUGCUGCAGCAUGGUUUCACUCAGCCUCCUUGAAGGAAAAUGUCUGAGGAGGAGAAGCUUUUUGGGGUCCCGGCGCAUUCUGUGGAGACCAUCAGCUCCAGGCUGGCCACCCAUGACCUACAUGAGCUGGAUCAUUUGCUCAUAG